GACGAACGCUGGCGGCGUGCUUAAUACAUGCAAGUCGAGCGAGAACCUAUUGAGGGGUAACCCUCGAUAGGGGAAAGCGGCGAACGGGUGAGUAACACGUGGGUAACGUGCCCCAGACACUGGGAUAACAGCGGGAAACCGCUGCUAAUACCGGAUAACCCUCAUAGAGCGCAUGCUCGGUGAGGCAAAUGCUCCGGCGGUCUGGGAUCGGCCCGCGACGUAUCAGCUUGUUGGUGGGGUAACGGCCUACCAAGGCGGUGACGCGUAGCUGGCGUGAGAGCGUGGCCAGCCACACUGGGACUGAGACACGGCCCAGACUCCUACGGGAGGCAGCAGUAGGGAAUCUUGCACAAUGGGCGCAAGCCUGAUGCAGCGACGCCGCGUGAGGGAUGAAGGCUUUCGGGUUGUAAACCUCUUUCAGCAGGGACGAAGCCCUUUGGGUGACGGUACCUGCAGAAGAAGCCCCGGCCAACUACGUGCCAGCAGCCGCGGUAAUACGUAGGGGGGCGAGCGUUGUCCGGAUUUAUUGGGCGUAAAGAGCUCGUAGGCGGCUCUU
This 556-nucleotide ribosomal RNA is filed under the name uncultured bacterium. RNAcentral's name for it is "bacterial SSU rRNA". It matches the Rfam family "Bacterial small subunit ribosomal RNA", at positions 28 to 583 of the family's 1533-position model. The record is from RNAcentral.